GACGAACGCUGGCGGCGUGCCUAAUACAUGCAAGUCGAGCGAAGCGGCGGAUGGGUGAGUAACGCGUGGGAAACCUGCCCCUAAGUCUGGGAUACCAUUUGGAAUCAGAUGCUACUACCGGAUACUAAACGAUGUACCUGCGAUGGAUUAGCUAGUUGGUAAGGUAACGGCUUACCAAGGCAAUGAUGCAUAGCCGAGUUGAGAGACUUGUCGGCCAAAUUGGGACUGAGACACGGCCCAAACUCCUACGGGAGGCAGCAGUAGGGAAUCUUCCACAAUGGACGAAAGUCUGAUGGAGCAACGCCGCGUGAGUGAAGAAGGUGUUCGGAUCGUAAAGCUCUGUUGUUGGUGAAGCGGUAAUCAACCAGAAAGUCACGGCUAACUACGUGCCAGCAGCCGCGGUAAUAC
RNAcentral lists this ribosomal RNA (408 nucleotides) under uncultured bacterium. RNAcentral's name for it is "partial 16S ribosomal RNA". It matches the Rfam family "Bacterial small subunit ribosomal RNA", at positions 28 to 526 of the family's 1533-position model. The record is from RNAcentral.